RNAcentral lists this ribosomal RNA (499 nucleotides) under uncultured bacterium. RNAcentral's name for it is "bacterial SSU rRNA". It matches the Rfam family "Bacterial small subunit ribosomal RNA", at positions 19 to 507 of the family's 1533-position model. The record is from RNAcentral.
AUGGCUCAGAGUGAACGCUGGCGGCAGGCCUAAUACAUGCAAGUCGAACGGCAGCACAGCAGAGCUUGCUCUGUGGGUGGCGAGUGGCGGACGGGUGAGGAAUACGUGGGAAUCUGCCCAGUCGUGGGGGAUAACGUAGGGAAACUUACGCUAAUACCGCAUGCGCCCUUCGGGGGAAAGCCGGGGACCUUCGGGCCUGGCGCGAUUGGAUGAGCCCACGUCGGAUUAGCUAGUUGGCGGGGUAAAGGCCCACCAAGGCGACGAUCCGUAGCUGGUCUGAGAGGAUGAUCAGCCACACUGGAACUGAGACACGGUCCAGACUCCUACGGGAGGCAGCAGUAGGGAAUAUUGGACAAUGGGCGCAAGCCUGAUCCAGCCAUGCCGCGUGAGUGAAGAGGGCCCUCGGGUUGUAAAGCUCUUUUGUCCGGAAAGAAAAGCGCCGGGUUAAUACCCUGGUGUCCUGACGGUACCGGAAGAAUAAGCACCGGCUAACUUCGUG